This 497-nucleotide ribosomal RNA is filed under the name uncultured bacterium. Its description in RNAcentral is "partial 16S ribosomal RNA". It matches the Rfam family "Bacterial small subunit ribosomal RNA", at positions 28 to 507 of the family's 1533-position model. The record is from RNAcentral.
GAUGAACGCUGGCGGCGUGCCUAAUACAUGCAAGUCGAGCGAACAGACGAGGAGCUUGCUCCUCUGACGUUAGCGGCGGACGGGUGAGUAACACGUGGAUAACCUACCUAUAAGACUGGGAUAACUUCGGGAAACCGGAGCUAAUACCGGAUAAUAUAUUGAACCGCAUGGUUCAAUAGUGAAAGACGGUUUUGCUGUCACUUAUAGAUGGAUCCGCGCCGCAUUAGCUAGUUGGUAAGGUAACGGCUUACCAAGGCGACGAUGCGUAGCCGACCUGAGAGGGUCAUCCGGCACACUGGAACUGAGGAAGGGUCCAGACACCUACGGGAGGCAGCAGUAGGGAAUCUUCCGCGAGGGGCGAAAGCCUGACGGAGCAACGCCGCGUGAGUGAUGAAGGUCUUCGGAUCGUAAAACUCUGUUAUUAGGGAAGAACAAAUGUGUAAGUAACUAUGCACGUCUUGACGGUACCUAAUCAGAAAGCCACGGCUAACUACGUG